This is a long non-coding RNA of Taeniopygia guttata (zebra finch), 1620 nucleotides long. Lineage: Eukaryota; Metazoa; Chordata; Aves; Passeriformes; Estrildidae. The record is from Ensembl.
CAGGCUUGUGGGUCUGAAUGCAGCAGUGAGGCCACAGCAAUGCCCAUCCCUGGGCUGUUGCCUCCAAUCUUCCUUUCACAGAAGACCUGUCUAAGUGUCUGAGGAACAGCCUCACCAGUGCACUAAGCUGUGUUUCCCUGCUGGGCCAUGCUAUCCACAGAUUUAUUUCACUAAGGCGGUCACAACACAAAGUACUAUACCUACAAGCAGAAGUAUUUGCUGUAAAUUGGAUGAAGAAAUCCCCAAAGGACAGGGAGUGGUUCUUUUCCUGAUUUGUGUGUACAGAAGAAGGAAAAGCUUAGAGAAAAAAGACAUUGACGUGGAGGAGUUUAAACUGAGAAGUAAACAUAAAGGUGUGGAUUGAAUCUCUGGUUCAGGAUGUGCCUGGUCUACAGGCUGCCAAAGCCUGGUUUUCCCUCUGCAACACUAUCCAUAGCCAGAGGCACCGAGCAGCAGGCAACUGGGAGCUUUAAUUUCCAAGUUUUCUCUCAGUGAAGACCAGCAGCUGAUAGCAGUACUGACACUGGUGGUGGGAUUCUGGUAUUUCACCAGCACAGCUCAAGUGAACCAGUCUGCUAUGAAACCUUCCCAUGGAAAGGCUCUGCAAGUCAGGCUUCCCUCCAGAGGUCACCAGAAAGCCAUGGCUCAGACUGCCAACCAACAACCAAAUUUCAUGGACACAAUAUAGAGGAAAGAGAUUAGGCAAAAAAAAAAAAAUUUAAAAAAAAUUGCAUAUAUCUUAAAAUCUUCUGUAAGAACUUCUGAGGCUUUUCAUCUCUGGUUACCAAACAAGAUACUAUUUGACGUUUUUUAACCAUUUUAGCAGUGCUAAGGGUACCGCUCAAAAUUAUUGAAAUUGCAGGUCUGAGCACUCAGCUGCUCUAAAAAUCAGGUCUUGUGUGGGUCAUGUUGGUCAUUUCCUCUGAAUGAACACUUAAGAAAAUGUUAGCUUUCAGCAAGUUGGUUCAGACUAUGAAUCCACUCUGGCAGAGAUGGGAACAGAACUCAGGUUUUCUGACUGACUGAUCGAAUGGCUCAACUGUGCUAUCGCCAAGAAAGAGACUUUAAAGAAUGACUCUGAAAGGUUAUUUUCAUUGAAUUGCUGAGUACAUAAAAUGUGUUGAAAGAAAGGGUAAAACUUCUUGAAAGGGUUUAGAAAUGGUUAUAUUUCUAAUCUGUUGUGGUAGGAUUUUAAACUCCAGUGUUCAGCGAACCUAGACUGACAAAUUUAUUAUAGUUAUAAGGCUGAGAAACCUAUUAGAAAAAAUAUAAUAGAAGGUACAUUUUUGUGAGGCUUUAAUAGGAACAGAAACAAUUCAACAAAAGACUAAAUUCUGUAAGGUGGGAAAAGUCAUUUAUUAAAUCUUUCUAAAAAGAUUGACUGACCUUUCUUUAAAAAGUGGGGCCUUUUUGUCAAAAAUGAAAAGCUCGAGCUUCAUAACAACAACCCAGUAAAAGGGUUUAUUAGAAAUUGGCUUCCUGUACAAGUUCAGUUAUUCUUAUUUUCAGUAAAUGUUGGUGUUAUGCAGCAAGAGAAGCACUGUUGCCUCUCUAAUUUCUCUCUGGAACUAAAGAAAUUCAUAAUGAAAGCAUUAAAAAUCUAAACAGAAAUUAAAAAAU